CCUGCCUGCGCGGGGUGCCCGCGGGGCCCGGCCAGCCUGGCUUCUCCGGGAGGAGGGUGCGCCAGGGCUGCCAGCCACGGAGAGGCUUAAAGCAAAUCUGCCUGCAGACCUGGCGGUCUGCUACCGCUGAAAUCCCUAACUAUGCAAAGGUGGGAACAAGGUUUUCUAAUCUCUUUAUUAUUAUUUAUAUUUUUUUCCCCUGGUAUAAGUUACCUAAAAGUUUUGUUGCCACUGUUCGCUAAAUGCCAACAUUAUUUUGUUGCACGAUGCAUGACUUGUCCGUGCCUAAAUAUACCUGUAGAUGCGGAGACGUAUCACGCACACACACACACACAAAGUGAUGAUAUCUUAAUGAAAUAUAUAGCACAGUGCAAAUAUCCUGAAAUCAGAUUCAAGUAUUAUUAAUUUGAAUUAGAUCCUCUCAGAUCCAGAAGACACUGCCUAUAAAUCAAGGGCAGUCUGGCAAUUCCUUAAAGAGCUAAACUGAAUUUAGAUGCAUAUGAUAAAAAGAAAGAAAAAGAAAAAAGUGAAUGCUAAUUACUGACUCGCUUGAUUUCCAGUCACCCACGUUUUAUAUGAGAAAAAAGAAAAAAACCCAACAAAUUACCAACAAGUUCUCAAAAUAAAUUAAUCCCAUCACAAACACCUUACAUAUUGUUCAUACAUUUCCAGAUUACAAAACGAGAGGAUGAACCGGAGAUUAAAAGAAGCUGCAGCCUAACCUGCAAUAGGCAGGAGUGCCGUUGAUAUUAUAUCAUUAAAAUAUAUAUCUGCAGCUACACUAAAAAACAAACCCUUAGACGGUGUGAUGAUGCUCAAGGGCUUUAAGGAACAUGUUGGUAUUGUCAGAUAAUCCCUAUUCAUAAUUUUGCAGACUGUUCUUUCAGCCCUCAAUCUCACAGUUUCUCCAGCUCUGAAGUGCCUCAGCAGGGCUUGCAUCGGAGCGAUAAACUGCUCUGAUCUUCGCAGGAGUGGCAUAACACCCAACCUUAUUAGAUGUUAUUUUAACGUGGUAUGUGAAGGUGUUUUGUUAUUUUUGUGGGGUUUUUUGUUUGUUUGUUUGUUUGUUUGUUUUUUAAUUUUUGGACACUGGACAUAAGCAUUUAGCAAUCAGCUAAGCCCUUCUGAGAUGGAAUUUAACCUUAAUCCAGGCGAUGAUUUCCUGCCCAGCUCUGAACUAAUAACAGGCGUGCAGCUUCUUUAGGAGAUGGAAAUAAUGACAGUCUACAGCUCCUGCCUUUAUUGGGGUGGUGCUGGCAGCCCGGCUCCCAGCCCCUUCACGGUCAGUAUCCCCACGCAGCGCCUAUGCCUUGCUCUGUUUUAAACUUCCACAAAUAAGAUUCCCCCCCCAUCAGUGUAAAACAAACAGACCCAAAAUAUCCUUACAAACCCCAGCUCACUCCUUGUGUAAGGCACCCGGCGCUGUGCCUUGCAGAUGGUUUUAAGGGCAGUUCUCGGGGUGCAGGUUUUCCCUCUUUUCUUCGAGUUCUCCUAUGUGGAAAUGCAGAGAGGUGAUGGGGGCGGCCAGGUGGUCCUGAUGCAAACCUGCCUGAGCAAUGCCAUGGGUGAUGCCACAGGUGAUGCCAGCUGCCUUCGUCCUCCUCAGAGGGUUUCCUUUUGUCCACCAAAACCCAUUGUGGUGGAGAUAACUGCCCCUGGAGAUAAUCCCAUGUCCCCCCCAUCCCUGCAUGGGGCUGUAGGGCCAGGCAGGGGCAAAUCCUGCUGCCAGGGGCUCAUUACCAUGAGAAAGGGGAGAGCCCCCCCGAGUCCCCCCAGGCACCCAGGUGUGAUGGGCAGAGGAGGGGACCGGCCGCCAUGGGGGGCAGCAGGGCGCAGGCCCUGGAGGACAUGGUCUUCUGCUGAGACCUUCUGCCAUCGUGGCUUUGUGGGGACCUGGUGACACGGGCUGGCGGGAUGAUUCACGGCCUUAUUUGUUUCGGUGUGUGUGCUUUUUCCCUGGUGUAGGAUGAGUAACGGGGAGUGUGUUUUCUUGUCCAUGUGGAAGGAGGAAAAUCAGGGGGAUAGCAGCAAAGGUGCUCUAGCUGAUAGGUUUCGACUAAUACAUUUUAGAGGCUGGUGAAGACGGAGGUUUAACACCUCUAAAAAUACGUUAGCUGCUCCGAGGCUUUUACUUUGGGUCCUUCAUAGCCAGGGCUCUCCAACAUUUUCCCCAAAGCGUGGAACUCUUCCUGCAUUAGGGACUAAACAUCCCCAUGCAGGGGACCCAGACGAGAUGCGCUCACUUGCAGCCGAGCCUGGGGAGAGCAUCCCCCCCCAACAGCCCUGCUCCGCCGGGGGAACGGCUGCUGCAAGAUCGGAGCUCCCCGUGGUUGCCGACUGCUUCUCAGGCACAGAUCUCUGGGGUGCAGAAGCUGCCCUCGCCUUGGGAAAAAACUGGGAGGUUGCAAAAAAAACCCAAAACCAACUCAAACCAAACAAAAAAUAUGCCAGGGGAGGAUUAUUUCUGCAGUUACCUGUGGUGGUAGAAGAUAAGACAGGGUGGAAUAAUUUUUCUGAGUGGGGAAAGCCCCAUGUGGCCCCAAGAUGCUGCUGGAUACUUUUGCUCGAUACAGGUGUCCCUAUAAACUAAAAUUUAGAGAGCAAAGCCUUUUAUAUAUAUAUAUUUUUUUUUUCCACAUGGAGUAGAGGGCAUGGAGGAGAGGAAGAAAGGGUCAGGGAACGACUCUACCCCCACCCGCUGAUGAGGUAUUCGGGAAGAAACCUUUUGAAUCAACAUUCCCAAAGUUUUCGAGUUCCUCUGCGGAAAACCCAUGUAGGGAUAGGAUACGAGCCAAAAGCAAGGGAAAAGAUUGUCUGGCUUUAAUUUAUCUAUCCCUGGGCAUUUCUAACAAGCAGAUCACUGUAAUAUUUAAUCUUGUGCGAGUCCCUGCACGUUAAAAGUGAAUCUCCCUCAUACGUUUUUGUUAAUUUUGUCAUUUAUAAAGUCGCUUUCGAUGGCCUAGAGCUGCUCAGCUCUGGUCCGCAACGCACGUCUGUCUGUCUGCGGCAGGAGAACAGCAUCCGCCGGACCCAAACCUGCUUCUCACCCCGAACACGAGAGGAGCGAGUGGCUCUGGCAGCCGGGAGAAGUGGCGGCAGUCGCAUUCUCCCAGGACAAAGACAUGAAGGGGGGUUGAAUUUGUAACAGCAAAAGCCGUAAGCUUGAGCAACACUUGCAGCACGGAAGGCCCAGCUCUGAGCCCCGUGCCCUGACCUGCCAUCGCUUUGGCCAUCAGGGUGGUGGCGAUGGCAUCAAGCUCUUUGCAAAAGGAUGAGUUUGGAAAUGGGUGCAAAAACGCAUGAGGCAGAGUACGGCAAUACCGUUUGGUGUUCAUCCAGUGGGUCCACCAGCCAAUGGGCCUACCACAAGGAGGUGAUGAAUGGGUAUGAUUUCCCAAAUUCUGGACUAGGGAAGAGGAAAAAUGGUCUCCAGAAUAAUUUUGGCAGCCUGGGUUGGGUUGCUGUGGGCAUCGAUGUCCUCAGCUCCCAGAAGUCAGGAAUUGCAACUCUGGGUCCCUAUCCUCUGUGCCAUAAUUUGACUGAACCACUUUCCCACAAGUAAAGACAUUUGCAUGGAUCCAGCAUACUGCACGUAGUAGGACAGUAAUAUUCAUGAUUUGCCUUUAAUUUUGCCUGUGGCAUGGGCAGUAGAUGCCACUGAAGCCAGCAGAGAUGCAAACAGGCCCACCGUGCUCCCCAGAAGAUACCAAGAUAAGGUGGGCAGGGAAUGGGACAUUACAACCACCAGCUGGGGUGGCUGGUCCCGGGGGGAGAGGUUGGACUUGGUGUCAGUCAUCCAGAUGGCAUCCUCCUACCUAUUGCUUGCCUUUACAGGAGUAUAAACUAGACUGAACAUUGCUGCCCCAAAGCGUGAAAGCAAAAUCAGUGAGAUGACCCAGCAUUUGCUACGCAGGUUGCUUUGAUAGCUGUGGGAGCGUGUGAGGAGGCUCAAGGCAGCAAAGUCAACCCUGGGUGACUUUGUAGCUCAUUUAUAUCAACGAAUCUGCUGGGCUGGCUCUCUACAUGCAAGACCUCUUUCCCUACCAAGCAGGGAAAGCGCAGAAGUGGUGGAGCCCAGGCAAAAGAAAACAAACUCAAGCACAGCACAGCCUUGGAUAUGUGCUGUUGGAGCAGGUGAGUGCCUCCGUGAGCUCCUGUGCCACCACCCACCCACCAGCCGUGCAUGGCAGGGCUGUCUCUGCUUAUGCCAAAGCCUGUCUGGUGGUGACACUCAUUUCUGGGAGGACAGGAGCUAUCAGGGAGGUCUGUGUCCAGAAUUUCGGAGAGGGUAGCACUUCAGAGGUCAGAAUCAAGGUGUGAAAAGCCACACCUGAUAUGGAGUGUUGGAAAGUGGACUUGGUUAGAGCUGGGAGCAGUGGAGAAAGCGGCACUGAUCUACACACAAGGAAGGCAAGCUGUCUCUCGUGCCUCAUGGUGAGCAGGGAGAAAUAUAGAGCAGAGAUUGAAAACUGCAAAUAUUUGUUCUCAUUGUCAGAUGUUUCUAUAAAAUCAGUUGUUACUGAAUCACCACUGAAGUUACCGAGCAUUUAAAUAAGCAGAGAGUGAGAAAGCUAAGUCUAAUUAUAUGUUUCAUGCCAUUUACAGAGGUUUCCAGGGGAUUUUCUUUUAAUAAAAGUGCAGUGCAUCAAAAAGAAUAAAUCCUACAAUUUUGUUAUUUACAAAUCAGCUGCUUCUGCCUCAAGCUGACAGACUUAUCCUCCAUCUUGCACCCUUCUUUCCACCCCAAAAUGCACCCAGUACAUUGAUGUUUCUACUAAUAUUCUUCAAGUUCCUACAUACUAUUUUAUGCUCCUUAUGUUGGUAAGCAAAUGGAUCGGAAGAAAAUCAUCACAAAGGCAUAAAAAAAUAUUCUUACAGAAAGAUACAGAGAAAAAGCCCACAGUGUUGGAUAAUGUGCAAUGUAGAUGUUUUCCAGAUGAAGAGAACAAGUGCCUUUUACAUCCCUGCCCACCAAUUCCUGAAGAUUUCGAAUCGGAAGCCUGGCUGGACAUAUGAUGUAAUCAAUUAGUUAAAAUGAUUUACUAACACAAAACACAAAACCUUUCUGAUGAUUAAUUUUAAUCCCCUUCACAUCUUUUCACCGCCACAACUGCUCUGCCCCUUCCGACUCCAGACUAUUUAGCAGUUGACUUUUGCGUUCAGAGCGUUGCAUAUCAAUCCCCAGGACCAAAACAUGCCACUAAUAUUUUCUCUGCUACGUCAUCUAUCGAUGGAGCACCUAACCCUGCAGCCCUUGUCUGUGCUUCAGAGAGGAGCGAGUCGUACCAAACCAGGCCCAUAACUCGCUCCUUGUUGAGGCUAUCGCCCAUUUAGAGGUGAAGAAAAACUGAGAAAACAAAACAUUUGUUCUUGUCCAACUUGGCUGCUGUCAUGAUAAAGGAGCAUGUCGACUGCUUUGGUAAUUAAAAUGCUAUGUGCAAAGGACACCAGAACAACAAAGGAAUGAAAAGAAGAUGGUUUCUCUCAAGUGUGAGCGUACCAUGCACGCGUUACACAGGCUACACACGCUCCAUAAAGGUCUUAGACUUGCCUUGCAACAGCCCUGCCAUUCCGGGAUGGGCCUCUUUCCUGAGCAGACGCUGGCCGUCGAGCCAAAUUGAUGCUUACUAUCCUUCCCAGAUUUCUGUUCACACCUGUACAACUUGCCAUUACAAAGAUGAACCUGGCAAUUUCUGGUAAAUACAACUACUAAUUUUAUCUUGUCUCGCCCUUGAGUGAAAUCCUAUACAUCUUUGGUCAGGGGUGGCUUCCUGAGAAAAGGAUUACACACCGUGAAGCUUCACGUUCUCCUAGACGACUUGAGCAGAAAGGAAGGGGAAGGAUUCCCGCUCCCGUUUAUACUCCUGCAAAGGCAGCGAGGCCAAAUCACGCCAACUGCUUUCAUCUCUUCAUUACUCCAGAAACGCCACACUUUCCAAAAGAAAUUCACUGUUGAUUUAAGGGGGAAAGUGGGACACAAAACAAAUGGGGGUGAUAAUGAAUUGAAGUGAUGAUCUGAGGAGCUCAUAGUGCUUCAUAAGCAUUAAUUAAUUAAGCCUUACUAGAUCCCAGUGAGGUAGGUAUUAUGGCCCAUACUUCAAUCCUGGCUGCGGUGUGCUAUUUCUGUAUCUCAAUAUCAUUUUGUUAAUGUGUAUUCUGAUGAGCGGACUGAAAUGGUGUCUGACUAGUAGAGAUGACUGUGCAUAUAUUUAAGCUGUGAAUGUUCUGCAUGAUGAGCCUUCAUAUGGAAACAACUUUUUUUUUUUUUUU
Molecule: long non-coding RNA, 6270 nt
Organism: Grus americana (Whooping crane)
Lineage: Eukaryota; Metazoa; Chordata; Aves; Gruiformes; Gruidae
Exons: 7
Source: RefSeq, a predicted model, not a curated record